This 356-nucleotide long non-coding RNA is filed under the name Phoenix dactylifera (date palm). RNAcentral's name for it is "long non-coding RNA (PDAC_LNC014590)". The record is from RNAcentral. Lineage: Eukaryota; Viridiplantae; Streptophyta; Magnoliopsida; Arecales; Arecaceae.
AUUAGGUUAGGAACUCGACCAAUUAAACUCUAGAAUUCAGCAGUGAUGAUGGUGUCCGCUAACAAAUUUUUCAAUCUUUUAGACAUUGUUCAGAAAUGUAAUGUCUUCCAGAAGUAUCAUGUUGGUAUUUGGCCAGUUGUUUUUAUAUGACAUUUUUUAUAGUAUCUUGAUGUAAGACCAGUGUACAAGGGGUCAAGGAACUUGUUACCCGUGGAAUGCUUUGUAGCUUAUGUUUUCCCCCUUCCCCUUGCUGUUAUGAAUGUAACAAUUGCUCUAUUUAAGGAAGCUGCGUCACCGGCUGUCAAUGUAGAGAUAGGUGUAUGAAUGACCAAAUACAGGGAUCCCUGUGAAUUUCC